Molecule: ribosomal RNA, 359 nt
Filed under: uncultured Gammaproteobacteria bacterium
Lineage: Bacteria; Pseudomonadati; Pseudomonadota; Gammaproteobacteria
Description: bacterial SSU rRNA
Rfam family: Bacterial small subunit ribosomal RNA
Source: RNAcentral
GUGAAAGUUUGCAGCUCAACUGUAAAAUUGCCUUUGAAACUGGUAGUCUUGAAUUAUUAUGAAGUGGUUAGAAUAAGUAGUGUAGCGGUGAAAUGCAUAGAUAUUACUUAGAAUACCAAUUGCGAAGGCAGAUCACUAAUAAUAUAUUGACGCUGAGGGACGAAAGCGUGGGGAGCGAACAGGAUUAGAUACCCUGGUAGUCCACGCCGUAAACGAUGGAUACUAGCUGUUCGGAUUUAUCUGAGUGGCUAAGCGAAAGUGAUAAGUAUCCCACCUGGGGAGUACGUUCGCAAGAAUGAAACUCAAAGGAAUUGACGGGGGCCCGCACAAGUGGUGGAGCAUGUGGUUUAAUUCGAUGA